This 27-nucleotide small RNA is filed under the name Bombyx mori (domestic silkworm). RNAcentral describes it as "ovarian small RNA-22006". Lineage: Eukaryota; Metazoa; Arthropoda; Insecta; Lepidoptera; Bombycidae. The record is from RNAcentral.
UAGAGCUGAUCAAGCUUGGAGCGUUAA